ACAAGUCCGGUCCUAUAUUUGCAACGAG
RNAcentral lists this small RNA (28 nucleotides) under Bombyx mori (domestic silkworm). RNAcentral's name for it is "ovarian small RNA-10950". Lineage: Eukaryota; Metazoa; Arthropoda; Insecta; Lepidoptera; Bombycidae. The record is from RNAcentral.